RNAcentral lists this ribosomal RNA (111 nucleotides) under Danio rerio (zebrafish). Lineage: Eukaryota; Metazoa; Chordata; Actinopteri; Cypriniformes; Danionidae. The record is from RNAcentral.
UACCAUGGCCAUAUCACCCUGGAGCUUAAAACGGUUACUCACUGAAGCUAAGCAGGGCCUGGUCAGUACCUGGAUGGGAGACCACAUAGGAAAAGUGGGUUGCUGUUGGAA